Molecule: ribosomal RNA, 1801 nt
Filed under: Pinus taeda (loblolly pine)
Lineage: Eukaryota; Viridiplantae; Streptophyta; Pinopsida; Pinales; Pinaceae
Description: SSU rRNA
Rfam family: Eukaryotic small subunit ribosomal RNA
Source: RNAcentral
CCUAGUUGAUCCUGCCAAUAGUCAUAUGCUUAUCUCAAAGAUUAAGCCAUGCAUGUCUAAGUAUGAACUAAUUCAGACUGUGAAACUGUGGAUGGCUCAUUAAAUCAGUUAUAGUUUUUUUUAUGGUACCAUACUACUCGGAUAACCAUAGUAAUUCUAGAGCUAAUACGUGCACCAAGUCCUGACUCUUUGGAAGGGAUGCAUUUUUUAGAUAAAAGACCAGCGCGGGCUUGCCCGCUUCUCUGGUGAAUCAUGAUAACUCAACGGAUCACACAACCCUUGUGCUGGUGAUGCUUCAUUCAAAUUUUUGCCCUAUCAACUUUCAAUGGUAGGAUAGAGGCCUACCAUGGUGGUGACAAAUGAUGGACAAUUAGGGUUCGAUUCUGGAGAGGGAGCCUGAGAAACGGAUACCACAUCCAAGGAAGGUAGCAAGUGCGCAAAUUACCCAAUCCUGACAUGGGGAGGUAGUGACAAUAAAUAACAAUAUUGGGCUCAUCGAGCCUGGUAAUUGGAAUGAGUACAAUCUAAAUCCCUUAAUGAGGAUCCAUUAGAGGGCAAUUAUGGUGCUAGUAGCCAUGGUAAUUCCAGCUCCAAUAGUGUAUAUUUAAGUUGUUGCAGUUAAAAAUCUUGUAGUUGGAUCUUGGGUCGUAAAGGUCGGUCCACCUACUUGGUGUGCACCUGCCCUUCUGUCCCUUUUGUCAAUAGUGUGCUCCUGGCCUUAAUUGGCUGGGUCGCGGCUCCGACACUGUUACUUUGAAAAAAUUAGAGUGAUCAAAGCAAGCUUAUGCUCUGAAUACAUUAGCAUGGAAUAACGUGAUAGUAGUCUGGUCCUAUUGUGUUGGCCUUCAGGACCGGAGUAAUGAUUAAUAGGGACUGUUGGGGGCAUUCGUAUUUCAUUGUCAGAGGUGAAAUUCUUGGAUUGAUGAAAGACUAACCACUGCGAAAGCAUUUUCUAAGGAUGUUUUCAUUAAUCAAGAAUGAAAGUUGGCAGCUCGAAGACGAUUAGAUACCAUCCUAGUCUCAACCAUAAACAAUGCCAACCAGGGAUUUGUGGAUGUUUCUCGAAGGACUCCGCCAGCACCUUCUAAGAAAUCAGAGUGUUUGGGUUCUAGGGGAGUAUGGUCGCAAGGCUAAAACGUAAAGGAAUUGACAGAAGGGCACCACCAGGAGUGGAGCCUGCGGCUUAAGUUGACUCAACAUGAGGAAACUUACCAGGUCCAGACAUAGUAAGGAUUGACAGAUUGAGAGCUCUUUCUUGAUUCUAUAGGCAGUGGUGCAUGGUUGUUCUUAGUUGGUGGAGCGAUUUGUCUGGUUAAUUCCAAUAACAAUGAGACCUCAGCCUGCUAACUAGCUACGCAGAGGUUCCCCUUCGCGGCCAACUUCUUAGAGGGACUAUGGCCAUUUAGGCCAUGGAAGUUUGAGGCAAUAACAGGUAUGUGAUGCCCUUAGAUGUUCUAGGCUGCAUGCGCGCUACACUGAUGCAGCCAACGAGUUUUUCUUCCUGGUUCAAGAGGAUUGGGAAAUCUUCUCAAAUUGCAUCGUGAUGGGGAUAGACAAUUACAAUUAUUGGUCUUCAACAAGGAAUUCCUAGUAAGCGCGUGUCAUCAACUCAUGUUGACUAUGUCCCUGCCCUUUGUACAAACCACCCGUCGCUCCUAUCGAUUGAAUGAUCUGGUGAAGUGUUCGGAUUGUGUUGACGAUGGUGGCUCGCCGCCGUCAAAAUCAUGAGAAAUUCAUUGAACCUUAUCAUUUAGAGGAAGGAGAAGUCUUAACAAGGUUACCGUAGGUGAACCUGCAGUAG